CAACUGAGAAGCUGAAUGUUGAAGGCCCAGACGCUGUAGACCUUUUUCCUCCUGCUGCUGCCUCAUAGCCUGCAUGGUUUUUGCUGUCUUCUCCUAACUCUACAUCUCAGAGCCUCCCUCACCAUUUCAGGGCCCAGACUGAAAUCGCCAUUUCUCUAAUGGAUAGAUCUGUCUUGCUAUACAUCCUUGAAGUUGCUGCAUACCAUCGAAAUUCACAUCCCUGCUCAGACUCCAGAUAUUUCGCUCAGCUGAGGGGAUAUGCCCGAGCAUGGUCUUAGCUCUGCCUCUGAGCUAUCUGAAAAUACCACCAGUGGCAGCACAUAGCCACCUUGCCAUCUGCCUUCCCCGCCUCCUGGUGACAUCUCUCCAUCACUGCCAUCAUUCCACUGGACUUAACCUUUAUAGCAAAAACACAGGAGUCCUGCUGGGGAUUUAGUUCUUGCUGUUCAUGGCUGUAUCAGUUGAAUCGGAAGCUUCCAAGUGGCCCUUCAUGCAGGAAGAUGUUUAUUCCCCACAGCAUACCAGCACCAAAUCCCAGGCCCUCAAUCUGUUUAGAAACCUGUAUCCCUACUUACCCAAAUAAAGAGGUCAGACCAGAUGUGGGAAGGAAAGUAAGACAGUUGUAAU
Molecule: long non-coding RNA, 627 nt
Filed under: Canis lupus familiaris (dog)
Lineage: Eukaryota; Metazoa; Chordata; Mammalia; Carnivora; Canidae
Description: lncRNA (ENSCAFG00000034082.3, ENSCAFG00845006543.1)
Source: RNAcentral